UGAUAUUGCUCGGUAGAGCGACGGUCCG
This 28-nucleotide small RNA is filed under the name Bombyx mori (domestic silkworm). RNAcentral describes it as "ovarian small RNA-32580". The record is from RNAcentral. Lineage: Eukaryota; Metazoa; Arthropoda; Insecta; Lepidoptera; Bombycidae.